AUAAACUGGGAAUUUUCAAAAUUGAAGGUUGGCUCUUCUUAGGGAACUUAAAUAUAGUUGAGCAAAGUAUAUUUUAGCAUAAUAUUGACAAAAACAAACAAAUGCAAUUCAAAUACACUUGAAUAUCCAUGCCAUUCCUUAAUCACAUGUACAGAGCACAUGCUUGCUGCAUGGCUAUUGAGACCACCUACUGGCACUGUGCAUGCCUCCAUCACAUGUACACAUGGACCACACUUUUGAGCCUGAAGGACAAAGAGUAUUGAAGGCACACAUUUGAGCCUGUGGACUUAACAAGUGAGAUCAUUCCAGGGGCUCGUUCUUCGUACGUCGCUAACUCAGUUAACCUUUUGAAUGGGACUUUGUGGAGAUUUUUGGACAGGGGGCAUUUUUGAAUGAGCGGGGUUAGGGGAUGGUAAUAUUGAACUCAACAUUUCUGUUUUUAUUCAUCCAUGAAACAAGUUAUUGAAACGUGUUCUAUUCUACUGUACUUACAAAUAAAUCUGUUGAAAACA
Molecule: non-coding RNA, 512 nt
Organism: Paramormyrops kingsleyae
Lineage: Eukaryota; Metazoa; Chordata; Actinopteri; Osteoglossiformes; Mormyridae
Source: RefSeq, a predicted model, not a curated record